RNAcentral lists this long non-coding RNA (917 nucleotides) under Chrysolophus pictus (golden pheasant). RNAcentral describes it as "lncRNA (ENSCPIG00010012588.1)". Lineage: Eukaryota; Metazoa; Chordata; Aves; Galliformes; Phasianidae. The record is from RNAcentral.
ACAGGCUGUAGAUGGAUGUUAGCAUAUUAACAUCUGCCAGUGAUCUGGGUAAUGGCACCUAAGUUAGGCUGACUGUCCUACACACCAAGUUAACUUGGCUUGUGCAGAACUGUGUUGUUAUACCUAGGUUGCUUCUAGUACCAGAUCUGACUCUGUUAUGUCAACUCUGUGCUGCAUUUUGAAGUGUUGGUGUAUAUGCUGUUGCAAAAUACAUCCACCUCGAGAAGCAUCUUUCAAAGUAUGCUUUCUGAGUGUACACUUUGUUUCUGCCCUCCAGAAACAAAGAACAAAUAGGAGCUGAAAAGUUCUUAUGGAAUAAUCAUUUGACUCUGGGGAAGAGAUCAGAAGUGGAUUUCACUCAAUUUCACUGUGUUCUGUCAAGAAGCCUAGCUGAAAGAAAAAGUGGGACUCUGCAGCGUCAGCCAGAUUUGAUUUUGAUUGCCAGCUUUUCAAAAAGGCUGUGCUGGUGGAAGACCAAGCCUGGAGAAUUUGUUGAGAAGUGGAAACCUCCACUGGUUGUUUCCUGUGUGGAGGAGAAUAGGCAUUUCCUGUGCUCCCUACAAGUGAAUCUUCGCAAGAACUUCUUUUUCUUGGAAAGAAAGAAUGUCUAACUGUAAAGCAGAAGUGAGCACUAAUCACACCAGAGCACAUAAGGAGAAAUGCAACAUCUGAACUUAGCCAAAGAAAAAAGAUACCAAAGAUGUUUGAAUAUAUAUUAAUAUAUUUUGAAGAGGCUGUGAGAAGAAUAUGCUGAAAGUAGCUCUAUCUUGCACGGUGCAUACAGUAAAAGAAGCAUGAAAGUAGUUUGUAGAAUACUUCAUGAAUGAAACUGCAAAAAGAGGAUUGAGCAUGGUGGGUGUGUUCUGGAAAUGAAGUUAAUGUUCCCAGUUUACUAUCUGGGACUUGCAAUGGAAUUG